Molecule: ribosomal RNA, 503 nt
Filed under: uncultured bacterium
Lineage: Bacteria
Description: partial 16S ribosomal RNA
Rfam family: Bacterial small subunit ribosomal RNA
Source: RNAcentral
AUUGAACGCUGGCGGCAGGCUUAACACAUGCAAGUCGAGCGGGGUGAUGGUGCUUGCACUAUCACUUAGCGGCGGACGGGUGAGUAAUGCUUAGGAAUCUGCCUAUUAGUGGGGGACAACAUCUCGAAAGGGAUGCUAAUACCGCAUACGUCCUACGGGAGAAAGCAGGGGAUCACUUGUGACCUUGCGCUAAUAGAUGAGCCUAAGGCGGAUUAGCUAGUUGGUGGGGUAAAGGCCUACCAAGGCGACGAUCUGGAGCGGGUCUGAGAGGCGGAUCCGCCACACUGGGACUGAGACACGGCCCAGACUCCUACGGGGGGCAGCGGUGGGGAAUAUUGGACAAUGGGGGGAACCCUGAUCCAGCCAUGCCGCGUGUGUGAAGAAGGCCUUAUGGUUGUAAAGCACUUUAAGCGAGGAGGAGGCUCUUUUGGUUAAUACCCAAGAUGAGUGGACGUUACUCGCAGAAUAAGCACCGGCUAACUCUGUGCCAGCAGCCGCCGUAA